UACGUAGGGUGCGAGCGUUGUCCGGAAUCAUUGGCGUAAAGAGCGUGUAGGCGGUCCGAUAAGUCCGCUCUGAAAGCCCGGGGCUCAACCCCGGGAGGCGGGCGGAUACUGUCGGGCUAGAGUCCGGAAGAGGCAAGUGGAAUUCCUGGUGUAGCGGUGAAAUGCGCAGAUAUCAGGAGGAACACCGAUGGCGAAGGCAGCUUGCUGGGACGGUACUGACGCUGAGACGCGAAAGCGUGGGGAGCAAACAGG
Molecule: ribosomal RNA, 252 nt
Filed under: uncultured bacterium
Lineage: Bacteria
Description: partial 16S ribosomal RNA
Rfam family: Bacterial small subunit ribosomal RNA
Source: RNAcentral